ACGAAUAAGGGGUGGGCAAGUUCUGGUGUCAGCCGCCGCGGUAAAACCAGCACCUCAAGUGGUCAGGAUGAUUAUUGGGCCUAAAGCAUCCGUAGCCGGCUCUGUAAGUUUUCGGUUAAAUCUGUACGCUCAACGUACAGGCUGCCGGGAAUACUGCAGAGCUAGGGAGUGGGAGAGGUAGACGGUACUCGGUAGGAAGGGGUAAAAUCCUUUGAUCUAUUGAUGACCACCUGUGGCGAAGGCGGUCUACCAGAACACGUCCGACGGUGAGGGAUGAAAGCUGGGGGAGCAAACCGGAUUAGAUACCCGGGUAGUCCCAGCUGUAAACUAUGCAAACUCAGUGAUGCAUUGGCUUGUGGCCAAUGCAGUGCUGCAGGGAAGCCGUUAAGUCUGCCGCCUGGGAAGUACGUACGCAAGUAUGAAACUUAAAGGAAUUGGCGGGGGAGCACCACAAGGGGUGAAGCCUGCGGUUCAAUUGGACUCAACGCCGGGA
RNAcentral lists this ribosomal RNA (493 nucleotides) under uncultured marine group I thaumarchaeote. Its description in RNAcentral is "bacterial SSU rRNA". It matches the Rfam family "Archaeal small subunit ribosomal RNA", at positions 431 to 923 of the family's 1478-position model. Lineage: Archaea; Thermoproteati; Nitrososphaerota. The record is from RNAcentral.